This 549-nucleotide long non-coding RNA is filed under the name Equus asinus (donkey). Its description in RNAcentral is "lncRNA (ENSEASG00005034568.1)". Lineage: Eukaryota; Metazoa; Chordata; Mammalia; Perissodactyla; Equidae. The record is from RNAcentral.
UCUGUGGAUAGAUCCAGUGUAACUGGUGCAUUUUCAUUUCAAAGAACAGAAAGUGAGGUUUGAACAGUGCCACAUUUUGGCCUAAGAAAGAGGGACCUUGUGCUCUUAGAGGUCCCCACAUAUCACAAACACACACCAACAACAAAUUUAUUAAAGACUCUAUGGCUGCUUCUGUCACCAAGGAUCUGGCACUCAAGGCCGGCAGAGCAUGACUCACAACUCUAAGCAUUCACUUUCAGGCUAACACCAUUCGGGUUCCAAAGAAAUACUGCCCCUCAGGUCCUGCUUGUGAGAGAAAACGUUAUCUGAAAGUUGUGGUCAUAGACACUGCUUCAGAGCACGAAGAAGAUUUGAGGAACAAAAGUAUUCAAGAAGAGAAGACAAAUCAUUAACUUGUCAAAUCUUUCCUCUCAGAAAGCUUGAAUGCAGCAGAUUCUUGCAUAAUGAGACCCUGCUUAUACCCAGAAGUGAAAUUGCUGGAUGAUCAGUCCUACAGAGCACUAGUUUCUGCAGAGUACAAAUUAUGUGAAAAAUCUGGAUUAUAAGAAC